GAACAUUUGUUUUUGAGAGUGCAACGGAGCAUGUUCACAAGGUCACGCAACCAGCACCUCCGUCCAACCCCAGGAGGUCCGCAUUGACCCAGGGAAACGCCACACUCAUCAGAAGUCACUCCGACCCUCCCCACAGUCAGUGGCAGUGGCCUUCUGUCCCCACCACCCUGCUGGUUUUGGACGUUUCAGAUCAACAGACGCACACCGUGGUUUUUGUGUCUGGCUUUAGGUUUUCAAGUUCCUCGGGCCGUAGCCCGGGUCUGCAUGUUUUUCCUUUAUGGCCCAAUAAUACUCCCCUGUGUGGGUGUGUCCCAUUUGGUCUACCUGCUCUUAGCCGAUGGCAUUGGAGCUUCCCCUGGGGACUAUUAUAAACAGUGUCACUGUGAAUAUUUACAUGUGAGAUCUUAGCGGAUGUGUUUCUGCUUUUCUCGGGUACAAGCCUGGGAAUGAAAUCACGAGGCAUGGGGCAGCUCUGAGGUUUGAUAUUCUGAGAAGCCAUCAGUCUGUUUCCUCUCUCUUUUUUUUCUGUCUCCUGGGGAUCGGACCCAGGCACCUUCCCAUCUGUAAACAGGUGGCUUGCGCCUUCCUGGUUGGGCUCUGCAUGGAUCUGGACGCUCGAUGCUGGUCAGACACAGGAUCUGCCCACUCGGUUCCCGGUCUGAGUUGCCUUUUGACUUUCUUGAGGUGCCCUUUCGGAUCACACACCUUUUUAACGCUGAUGGAGCUCAGUGCCUCUGUUUCUUUCGCCACUUCAGUUUUUGUGCGGAAUCUAAAUCCUUUCUCAGUCCACAGUGGGGAAGAUUCACGCCAGUGUGUCCACAGAAGAGUCACCCCCACAUCUGGGCCCGAGACCCGCCUGGAGUUAACUGGUCUGUGGUGAGAAGGAGGGAGUCCGCCCUCCUCCUUCCCUUGUGACAUCAUUUUUCUUGUCAAUAUUUGUGCCGAUUCUCGUCCACUGCACUGCCUCGGCACCUCUUUGUUGAAGAUCAGCUGAUCAUAAAUGUGGGGAUCUACCUUGGGCUCUGCCCGUCGCUCUCUGCUUUUCCCAGUUCACCUCCUUGACUCUUCCUCCUCGUGCUGCAUCCAGCUGCUCCACAACAGAGAACUGGGUCUGUGUGGGGUUUGUGUGGCUCAUGGAGCCGUGGAGAUCAAGAGGGACACUGUCCUUGCCUCCGUGGACCUGACGUUCUUCCAGGAAUGGAUAGGCAAAGUGCAAGAGCAGACGCGUACUAAGAGGUGAUUUCAGGUAGUGCUUAGUGGGUGCGGGAAGACAAGACACUAUGUGACAGAGAGGGGCUGGUGGAGAAUUACAGGGCACUUCCACAGCGGAAUGCCAAGGAAGGCCACUCUGAGGAGCUAACAUUUGAGAAGGAGAAGUCAGCCACACAGAUCUGCCAGGCAGAGGGGCAGAAUAUGACUGAAGAUGAAACUGAUCCACUAAGGAGGGCAAACAGAGGCAUGCAGAACUGUCAAGACACAGCCUAGAUUAAACUGUGCCUGAAUUCCACCUUGGACUUUUUAGUCCUUGGGCCUUUGUUUCUCUUAUUGCUCAGCGGGUUAGAAUUGACUUUUCUGUUACAAACAGUAGUGUCCACACUGAAGUUCACGUUAGACCAUAAGCUGUGUCAAGGUUGGGGAAUAAUUGUCUGGUUCAACUUUGCAUGCACUCAGCUCUUGUAGGUCACAUUUUAAGAGGACCAGCUUUUUUUGUUUUUCUUAAACCACUGGAAGGCUUGGUGGUAUUGUGCCCGGCAGCCAGGACGGAACUGAAUCAGGGUCCCACUUUGGGUGUGGAGGCUGCUCUGAAGAGGAACUGACCCACGAGGAAGGCAGAACAGAGAGGACCACUUUUUCCAGGAAAAUUUUUCUUAGAGCCUGUGUGUCGGGUUCAUUUACUUACAUGCCUGUCCCGCGUGUGAGCCUGUGAGAUGCCCUGGACCAUCACACGCCCAGUGCCAGGAACACAGAAAUGAAGGACUGAGUCCACAGAUGAAUGUGUUGCCUAUUAAUUCUCUCUCUUUUUGAGGUACUAGGGAUUGAAUAUGCACCCUCAUGCAUGGUAAGGAAGUGCUCUGCCCCAGACCUUGAAAACUUUUCUAAAUUUUGAAAGGGUCUUGCUAAGUUGAGGCUGGACUUGAACUUGCGAUCCUCCUCCUGCCUCAGCCUCCGGGGUAGCUGGGGUUACAGGCAAGCGCCACCACGCGUGGCCACAGUGUUUAUUGCUAGCGUGCAGUUCUUUCCUGACUUCCUUCCUUCCUCCCUCCCUCUCUUGUCCCCUCCCUCCUUCCUCCUCUCUCUCUUCUCUUUCUCUUCUGCCUUAGCUGGGCAAAUUGACAGCAAGGUGCUCCAAAGCAGGGUUCUCUUUAAAGUCAAUUCCAGAGACUUGAGAGGCUGCGGCAGGAGGAUCACAAGUUUGAGGCCAGCAUUGACAACUCAGCGAGGCCCUAAGCAAGACCCUGUCUCAAAAUUUAAAAAGUAAAAUAAAAUAAAAAGGGCUGAGGAUAUAGCUCAGUGGGAAAGCACCCCUGGGUUCCAUCCCCAGGACCAUUCCUCCCAAACAAAAAACUGACUGGGGAUUUGGCUCAAUUGGUAGAGUGCUUGCCUCACAUGCACAAGGCAUGUUCAGUCCAGUAGAGGGCGCCCACAACAACCAGUAGAAAGAACAAGGGACGGUAGGGCAGGAAGCAGGCUUCCCAGUUGUCCACUGGUCACAGUGCUCUUCCAGGGAGGCUGACCUGCCCAGAUACAGGGGGUGUCAAAUUCAUGAUGCCAGCCCCUUCCUUCUGGUGGCAACUUAAUAUUCUUAAUAGAUAAUGCAUUCACAAGGUUUCAAAUAAAAUAAAAAGAUAAAUAGUAACAUUUCCGCCCCCUCCGUGGGCUUUUUGCUUUACCUCCUCAGCAAGUUCCAUUGUGAUUGUUCUCUUGAGUGCUUUUUGAGAAGGUUUAAUGCACAUAUCAACAGGUAUGAAUGUCUAUUUACCCGUGCUCCAUUUUAUCCCAAAGUAGCAGUGUUCUGAACACGCUGUUCUGUACCUGGCAUGGUUUAUGUGCCAGAUCUUGUGGAACAUUCCAUAUUGGCAUAUGGAGAGGGUCCUUGUUUUUUUUUCACAGCUGCAUACUCCUCGUGUUGCACCACUCUCACCAUCUACUCACCCGUCCACCAAUGAUGGGCAGUUGGGCUAUUCCUGUCCUCUGCUGUUAGAAAUGAACCAAUACAAAACCUUGAGUAUAUAUUUUUAAAAAUAUUUAUUUUUUAGUUGUAGUUAGACACAAAUACUUUUAUUUUAUUUGUUUUUAGGCGGUGCUGAGGAUCAAACCCAGGGCUUCGGGCGUGCUACGUGAGCACGCUACCCCUGAGCCACAACUCCAGCCCCUUGAAUAUAUUUUACAUCCGUGCAAAGGUAUCUAUAGCAGUGACUCUCAGCUUCAAGUGUGCGUGAGAAUCACCCAUGGGGUUUUCAGAAGUUCCACCACCCAGGGCGUAGCUCAGACCCAUCAUCAGAAGCUCUGAGCUCGAGACCAGAGCAUCCUGGGGAUCCCAGUGUCCAGCCAGGGCUGGGUAGCCUGACCCCCCAAGGCCAUAGAGAUUUAAAGAUGUACCAGAUAUUGCCAAAUGGCCUCCACCGGAGGAGGUUUGAGGGUGUGGGAGUUGUGUCAAUUCAUGCUCCUACCAGCAGGGUCCACCAGGGCCUGGGUCUUCACAGCCUCUCCUGCUAAUGAGACUAGCCAGAGUUUGGAUUUUGCCAACCUUCGUAUGGUUGAUUAUUAUUUUUAUAACUGGGGCUGGAGUUCAGGGCCUCACACAUGGAAGGCAAGGGCUUUGAACAUUUUUUUUUUUUUUUUUUUGGUGCUGGGGAUUGAAUCCAGGGCCUUGUGCAUGUGAGGCAAGCACUCUACCAAUUGAGCCAAAUCCCC
RNAcentral lists this long non-coding RNA (3915 nucleotides) under Marmota monax (woodchuck). The record is from RNAcentral. Lineage: Eukaryota; Metazoa; Chordata; Mammalia; Rodentia; Sciuridae.